This 492-nucleotide ribosomal RNA is filed under the name uncultured bacterium. Its description in RNAcentral is "partial 16S ribosomal RNA". It matches the Rfam family "Bacterial small subunit ribosomal RNA", at positions 29 to 507 of the family's 1533-position model. The record is from RNAcentral.
AGUGAACGCUGGCGGUAGGCCUAACACAUGCAAGUCGAACGGCAGCACAGUAAGAGCUUGCUCUUACGGGUGGCGAGUGGCGGACGGGUGCGGAAUACAUCGGAAUCUACUUUUUCGUGGGGGAUAACGUAGGCAAACUUACGCUAAUACCGCAUACGACCUACGGGUGAAAGCAGGGGAUCUUCCGACCUUGCGCGAUUGAAUGAGCCGAUGUCGGAUUAGCUAGUUGGCGGGGUAAAGGCCCACCAAGGCGACGAUCCGUAGCUGGUCUGAGAGGAUGAUCAGCCACACUGGAACUGAGACACGGUCCAGACUCCUACGGGAGGCAGCAGUGGGGAAUAUUGGACAAUGGGCGAAAGCCUGAUCCAGCCAUACCGCGUGGGUGAAGAAGGCCUUCGGGUUGUAAAGCCCUUUUGUUGGGAAAGAAAAGCAGCAGGUUAAUACCCCGCUGUUCUGACGGUACCCAAAGAAUAAGCACCGGCUAACUUCGUG